This 75-nucleotide transfer RNA is filed under the name archaeon. RNAcentral's name for it is "tRNA-Glu". It matches the Rfam family "tRNA". Rfam says of the family: Transfer RNA (tRNA) molecules are approximately 80 nucleotides in length. Their secondary structure includes four short double-helical elements and three loops (D, anti-codon, and T loops). RNAcentral also lists the same sequence under 2 other names. The record is from RNAcentral.
GCUCCCGUAGUGUAGACCGGCCAAUCAUUCGAGACUCUCACUCUCGUGACUCGGGUUCAAAUCCCGACGGGAGUA